RNAcentral lists this ribosomal RNA (483 nucleotides) under uncultured bacterium. Its description in RNAcentral is "partial 16S ribosomal RNA". It matches the Rfam family "Bacterial small subunit ribosomal RNA", at positions 30 to 507 of the family's 1533-position model. The record is from RNAcentral.
AUUGAACGCUGGCGGCAGGCCUAACACAUGCAAGUCGAGCGGAUGAAGGGAGCUUGCUCCUGGAUUCAGCGGCGGACGGGUGAGUAAUGCCUAGGAAUCUGCCUGGCAGGGGGGGAUAACGUCCGGAAACGGGCGCUAAUACCGCAUACGUCCUGAGGGAGAAAGUGGGGGAGCUUCGGACCUCACGCUAUCAGAUGAGCCGGGUCGGAUUAGCUAGUUGGUGGGGUAAAGGACUAGCAAGGCGACGAUCCGUAACGGGGCUGGGAGGAUGAUGAGUCACACUGGAACUGAGACACGGUCCAGACUCCUACGGGAGGCAGCAGUGGGGAAUAUUGGACAAUGGGCGAAAGCCUGAUCCAGCCAUGCCGCGUGUGUGGAGAAGGUCUUCGGAUUGUAAAGCACUUUAAGUUGGGAGGAAGGGCAGUAAGUUAAUACCUUGCUGUUUUGACGUUACCAACAGAAUAAGCACCGGCUAACUUCGUG